This 117-nucleotide ribosomal RNA is filed under the name Caldisericia bacterium. Lineage: Bacteria; Pseudomonadati; Caldisericota; Caldisericia. The record is from RNAcentral.
UUUGGUGGCAAUGUCGCAGGGGAAAUACCCGUUCCCAUUCCGAACACGGAAGUUAAGCCCUGCAGAGCCGAUGGUACUAAUCGGGAAGCUGAUUGGGAGAGUAGGACGCCGCCCAGG